UGAACGCUAGCUACAGGCUUAACACAUGCAAGUCGAGGGGCAGCAUGGUCUUAGCUUGCUAAGGCUGAUGGCGACCGGCGCACGGGUGAGUAACACGUAUCCAACCUGCCGUCUACUCUUGGCCAGCCUUCUGAAAGGAAGAUUAAUCCAGGAUGGGAUCAUGAGUUCACAUGUCCGCAUGAUUAAAGGUAUUUUCCGGUAGACGAUGGGGAUGCGUUCCAUUAGAUAGUAGGCGGGGUAACGGCCCACCUAGUCAACGAUGGAUAGGGGUUCUGAGAGGAAGGUCCCCCACAUUGGAACUGAGACACGGUCCAAACUCCUACGGGAGGCAGCAGUGAGGAAUAUUGGUCAAUGGGCGAUGGCCUGAACCAGCCAAGUAGCGUGAAGGAUGACUGCCCUAUGGGUUGUAAACUUCUUUUAUAAAGGAAUAAAGUCGGGUAUGCAUACCCGUUUGCAUGUACUUUAUGAAUAAGGAUCGGCUAACUCCGUGCCAGCAGCCGCGGUAAUACGGAGGAUCCGAGCGUUAUCCGGAUUUAUUGGGUUUAAAGGGAGCGUAGAUGGAUGUUUAAGUCAGUUGUGAAAGUUUGCGGCUCAACCGUAAAAUUGCAGUUGAUACUGGAUGUCUUGAGUGCAGUUGAGGCAGGCGGAAUUCGUGGUGUAGCGGUGAAAUGCUUAGAUAUCACGAAGAACUCCGAUUGCGAAGGCAGCCUGCUAAGCUGCAAC
This 723-nucleotide ribosomal RNA is filed under the name uncultured Bacteroidales bacterium. RNAcentral describes it as "bacterial SSU rRNA". It matches the Rfam family "Bacterial small subunit ribosomal RNA", at positions 30 to 740 of the family's 1533-position model. The record is from RNAcentral. Lineage: Bacteria; Pseudomonadati; Bacteroidota; Bacteroidia; Bacteroidales.